This 469-nucleotide ribosomal RNA is filed under the name uncultured bacterium. RNAcentral describes it as "partial 16S ribosomal RNA". It matches the Rfam family "Bacterial small subunit ribosomal RNA", at positions 28 to 507 of the family's 1533-position model. The record is from RNAcentral.
GACGAACGCUGGCGGCGUGCUUAACACAUGCAAGUCGAACGGAAAGGCCCUGCUUGCAGGGUGCUCGAGUGGCGAACGGGUGAGUAACACGUGGGUGAUCUGCCCCUUACUUUGGGAUAAGCCUGGGAAACUGGGUCUAAUACUGGAUAGGACCAUGCUGUAGGUGGUGUGGUGGAAAGAUUAGUUUCGGUAAGGGAUGAGCUCGCGGCCUAUCAGCUUGUUGGUGGGGUAAUGGCCUACCAAGGCGUCGACGGGUAGCCGGCCUGAGAGGGGGGAAGGCCCAAUUUGGACCGGGGUACCGGCCCAGCUCCCAAGGGGAGGAGGAAGUGGGGAAAAUUGCACAAUGGGGGCAAGCCUGAGGCGGGGAGGCGGGGGGGGGGUUGACGGCUUUGGGGUUGUAACCUCCUGUCGGCCAGGACGAAGCCCUGGUGGGACGGUAGUGGUAGAAGAAGCACCGGCUAACUACGUG